This 1315-nucleotide ribosomal RNA is filed under the name uncultured bacterium. Its description in RNAcentral is "bacterial SSU rRNA". It matches the Rfam family "Bacterial small subunit ribosomal RNA", at positions 8 to 1328 of the family's 1533-position model. The record is from RNAcentral.
AGAGUUUGAUCCUGGCUCAGGAUGAACGCUGGCGGCGUGCCUAAUACAUGCAAGUCGAACGCGGGCACUUGUGCCCGAGUGGCGAACGGGUGAGUAAUACAUAAGUAACCUGGCCUUUACAGGGGGAUAACUGCUGGAAACGGCAGCUAAGACCGCAUUGGUAGGGACACUGCAUGGUGACCGUAUUAAAAGUGCUGCAAGGCACUGGUAGAGGAUGGACUUAUGGCGCAUUAGCUGGUUGGUGAGGUAACGGCUCACCAAGGCGACGAUGCGUAGCCGACCUGAGAGGGUGACCGGCCACACUGGGACUGAGACACGGCCCAGACUCCUACGGGAGGCAGCAGUAGGGAAUUUUCGGCAAUGGGGGGAACCCUGACCGAGCAACGCCGCGUGAAGGAAGAAGGAAUUCGUUCUGUAAACUUCUGUUAUAAAGGAAGAAGGACGGAUGGAGGAAAUGACAUCCGAGUGACGGUACUUUAUGAGAAAGCCACGGCUAACUACGUGCCAGCAGCCGCGGUAAUACGUAGGUGGCAAGCGUUAUCCGGAAUUAUUGGGCGUAAAGAGGGAGCAGGCGGCAGCAAAGGUCUGUGGUGAAAGACUGAAGCUUAACUUCAGUAAGCCAUAGAAACCGGGCAGCUAGAGUGCAGAAGAGGAUCGUGGAAUUCCAUGUGUAGCGGUGAAAUGCGUAGAUAUAUGGAGGAACACCAGUGGCGAAGGCGACGAUCUGGCCUGCAACUGACGCUCAGUCCCGAAAGCGUGGGGAGCAAAUAGGAUUAGAUACCCUAGUAGUCCACGCCGUAAACGAUGAGAAGGAAGUGUUGGAAGUUAAAUUUCAUUGUAGCAGUUAACGCAGUAAGUACUCAGCCUGAGUAGUACGUUCGCAAGAAUGAAACUCAAAGGAAUUGACGGGGGCCUGCACAAGCGGUGGAGCAUGUGGUUUAAUUCGAAGCAACGCGAAGAACCUUACCAGGUCUUGACAUACUCAUAAAGGAUCCAGAGAUGGAUAGAUAGUUAUAUGAGAUACAGGUGGUGCAUGGUUGUCGUCAGCUCGUGUCGUGAGAUGUUGGGUUAAGUCCCGCAACGAGCGCAACCCUUGUCGUUAGUUACCAUCAUUAAGUUGGGGACUCUAGCGAGACUGCCAGUGACAAGCUGGAGGAAGGCGGGGAUGACGUCAAAUCAUCAUGCCCCUUAUGGCCUGGGCUACACACGUACUACAAUGGCGGCUACAAAGAGCAGCGAGACAGGGAUGUCGAGCGAAUCUCAUAAAAGCCGUCCCAGUUCGGAUUGGAGGCUGCAACCCGAAUCCAUGAAGUUG